This 100-nucleotide signal recognition particle RNA is filed under the name Sporomusa sp. An4. RNAcentral's name for it is "Bacterial small signal recognition particle RNA". It matches the Rfam family "Bacterial small signal recognition particle RNA". From Rfam's summary of the family: The signal recognition particle (SRP) is a universally conserved ribonucleoprotein involved in the co-translational targeting of proteins to membranes. Archaeal SRP consists of a 7S RNA and homologues of the eukaryotic SRP19 and SRP54 proteins. Lineage: Bacteria; Bacillati; Bacillota; Negativicutes; Selenomonadales; Sporomusaceae. The record is from Rfam by way of RNAcentral.
UACCGGGUCUUACGCAAUAAGAACUCAUGAACCGCGUCAGGUCCGGAAGGAAGCAGCGCUAAGUGAUCCUUCUUAUGUGCCGCAAGGGUGCCUGGUUGCU